GGAUGAACGCUAGCGAUAGGCUUAACACAGGCAAGUCGAGGGGCAGCAUGGUCUUAGCUUGCUAAGACUGAUGGCGACCGGCGCACGGGUGCGUAACGCGUAUGCAACUUGCCUCACAGAGGGGGAUAACCCGUCGAAAGACGGACUAAUACCGCGUACACUUGGGAUAGGGCAUCCUGACCCAAGGAAAUGAAAUUCGCUGUGAGAUAGGCAUGCGUCCCAUUAGCUAGUUGGUGAGGUAACGGCUCACCAAGGCGACGAUGGGUAGGGGAACUGAGAGGUUGCACCCCCACACUGGUACUGCGCCACGGACCAGACUCCUACGGGAGGCAGCAGUGAGGAAUAUUGGUCAAUGGGCGAGAGCCUGAACCAGCCAAGUCGCGUGAAGGAUGACUGUCUUAUGGAUUGUAAGCUUCUUUUAUACGGGAAUAACAAGAGCCACGUGUGGCUCCCUGCCUGUACCGUAUGAAUAAGCAUCGGCUAACUCCGUG
RNAcentral lists this ribosomal RNA (491 nucleotides) under uncultured bacterium. Its description in RNAcentral is "partial 16S ribosomal RNA". It matches the Rfam family "Bacterial small subunit ribosomal RNA", at positions 27 to 507 of the family's 1533-position model. The record is from RNAcentral.